UACGUAGGGUGCGAGCGUUGUCCGGAAUUACUGGGCGUAAAGCGUGCGCAGGCGGUUGUGCAAGACAGAUGUGAAAUCCCCGGGCUCAACCUGGGAACUGCAUUUGUGACUGCACGGCUGGAGUGCGGCAGAGGGGGAUGGAAUUCCGCGUGUAGCAGUGAAAUGCGUAGGUAUGCGGAGGAACACCGAUGGCGAAGGCAAUCCCCUGGGCCUGCACUGACGCUCAUGCACGAAAGCGUGGGGAGCAAACAGG
This 253-nucleotide ribosomal RNA is filed under the name uncultured bacterium. RNAcentral's name for it is "partial 16S ribosomal RNA". It matches the Rfam family "Bacterial small subunit ribosomal RNA", at positions 524 to 776 of the family's 1533-position model. The record is from RNAcentral.